UACGUAGGUGGCAAGCGUUGUCCGGAAUUAUUGGGCGUAAAGCGCGCGCAGGCGGUUCUUUUAGUCUGAUGUGAAAGCCCACGGCUCAACCGUGGAGGGUCAUUGGAAACUGGAGAACUUGAGUACAGAAGAGGAAAGCGGAAUUCCACGUGUAGCGGUGAAAUGCGUAGAGAUGUGGAGGAACACCAGUGGCGAAGGCGGCUUUCUGGUCUGUAACUGACGCUGAGGCGCGAAAGCGUGGGGAGCAAACAGG
RNAcentral lists this ribosomal RNA (253 nucleotides) under uncultured bacterium. RNAcentral describes it as "partial 16S ribosomal RNA". It matches the Rfam family "Bacterial small subunit ribosomal RNA", at positions 524 to 776 of the family's 1533-position model. The record is from RNAcentral.